RNAcentral lists this ribosomal RNA (643 nucleotides) under uncultured Actinomycetes bacterium. RNAcentral's name for it is "bacterial SSU rRNA". It matches the Rfam family "Bacterial small subunit ribosomal RNA", at positions 232 to 885 of the family's 1533-position model. Lineage: Bacteria; Bacillati; Actinomycetota; Actinomycetes. The record is from RNAcentral.
CGCGGCCUAUCAGCUUGUUGGUGAGGUAACGGCUCACCAAGGCGACGACGGGUAGCCGGCCUGAGAGGGCGACCGGCCACACUGGGACUGAGACACGGCCCAGACUCCUACGGGAGGCAGCAGUGGGGAAUAUUGCACAAUGGGCGGAAGCCUGAUGCAGCGACGCCGCGUGAGGGAUGACGGCCUUCGGGUUGUAAACCUCUUUCAGCAGGGAAGAAGCGAAAGUGACGGUACCUGCAGAAGAAGCGCCGGCUAACUACGUGCCAGCAGCCGCGGUAAUACGUAGGGCGCAAGCGUUGUCCGGAAUUAUUGGGCGUAAAGAGCUCGUAGGCGGCUUGUCGCGUCGGAUGUGAAAGCCCGGGGCUUAACCCCGGGUCUGCAUUCGAUACGGGCAGGCUAGAGUUCGGUAGGGGAGAUCGGAAUUCCUGGUGUAGCGGUGAAAUGCGCAGAUAUCAGGAGGAACACCGGUGGCGAAGGCGGAUCUCUGGGCCGAUACUGACGCUGAGGAGCGAAAGCGUGGGGAGCGAACAGGAUUAGAUACCCUGGUAGUCCACGCCGUAAACGGUGGGAACUAGGUGUUGGCGACAUUCCACGUCGUCGGUGCCGCAGCUAACGCAUUAAGUUCCCCGCCUGGGGAGUACGG